GACAGCGUGGCCGAGCGGUCUAAGGCGCCAGACUCAAGUGCAAACUUGCCUGCGUUUAGCAGGUCUGAGUGUUCUGGUCAGUGAAUACUGGCGUGGGUUCGAAUCCCACCGCUGUCA
Trichuris suis (pig whipworm) is the source of this 117-nucleotide non-coding RNA. The record is from Rfam. Lineage: Eukaryota; Metazoa; Nematoda; Enoplea; Trichinellida; Trichuridae.